CCGAUGAUGACUAGCGAUUCAUCCGAUUUGGUUCUCCAUCGCGGGAUUUUAUUCUACAGAAACAAUUAAACGAACACACUCUCUUUCCCAUUCUCCAUGAUUUGUAAGCUCUGAGCUCAGAACUCUCCGACUAGGUGAAAAGACAAUUGCUGCUAGUAUAAGGAUGGAAAAUGCAGAGGAUGAAGGCCAUGUUGGAGGUGGACACCAAGAGAAACAUGAAGAUGAGGAAACUGUUGCCCGCCUUGAGGAAUUCAAGAAAUCUAUUGAGGCAAAAAUGAGUCUCCGCCAGAGCAAUUUUAACCCAGAAAGGCCAGGUUGCUUUUAAGUAUUGCAUACUGUUGCAUGCAGUUAUUCUCUCACUUUUCAUUUUCAAAAUUGGGAGCAUACUAAAGUAACUGG
This is a long non-coding RNA of Ipomoea nil (Japanese morning glory), 399 nucleotides long. RefSeq lists it as uncharacterized. Lineage: Eukaryota; Viridiplantae; Streptophyta; Magnoliopsida; Solanales; Convolvulaceae. The record is from RefSeq and is a predicted model, not a curated record. The transcript is spliced from 3 exons.